This is a long non-coding RNA of Dendronephthya gigantea, 748 nucleotides long. RefSeq lists it as uncharacterized. NCBI's taxonomy places the organism in Eukaryota, Metazoa, Cnidaria, Anthozoa, Malacalcyonacea, Nephtheidae. The transcript is spliced from 3 exons. The record is from RefSeq and is a predicted model, not a curated record.
GUUUGGGUUCUUUGGUCCAACAUUUCGACAUCUUCUUUCAAGAUUAUUUAUAAAGAGGAUUUCUUGCUUGCAAUUUAAUAGGAACUGAAAUGAAGUAACAAUAUACUUGCGAGUUGCGAUGUUGAGGUCUGCUUGGUGCUAACUGUGAAACUAAAACUGCGUAUUUUUGCAACUACGUGUUCUUCAAAAUGGCAGCUCAGGGAAAUCUGCGAAUAGCAGUGAAAAAUCUUUAUCGACAGCUCUAUCACCUUGGUAAAGAUUAUCCUGCAGGAAAGGAAUAUUUUCACGCGAAAUUACACCAAGCUUUCAUGAAGAAUAAGGAUGUCACUGAUCCGAAACAGAUUCAACAGCUCAUCGAUCGAGGAAAUUAUGUGGUGAAAGAACUGGAAGCACUGUACAUGUUACGCAAGUAUAGAACUUUAAAAAAACGGUAUUAUAGUUGAUUCAUUUGUGUUAAUCUUUAAUGAUAUUCCAUAAAACUUUGUAUAUACAGUUGAAAGAAAAAUAAACCUGCACAAAGGUGUAGAAAUAUAUGCACGGUAUAACCGUAAUACAAGAGCUAUGAUUGGUCGACUUGUUAGCCUCGUUUCCCUCUGUAGAGAGAAUAGGUGUAUUCAAUAUUUGACAAAAAUUGAGAUUUUAUAGUUUUCAGAAGCAUAUUAAUUAAAUUCUGGAAGCAAAAUUUGGAAUUUAUGCACGCCAGGGCAGUCAAAAUGUAUUAUCAUUGCGUAAACUACAAGGAUAUUAU